CUGAAGCGCAAAAUGGGAGUAUUAACAAUGGAACUGGAGAAGGGAAUAACCAGCAAUACAUGACGACGAAUUCGCUUUAUGUUGGGGAUUUGGAUUUGAGUGUGAUCGAAACUCAGCUCUAUGAGUAUCUCUCACAAAUGGUUCUAUUAACGAAAACCUUAAGGUACGAGAUUG
This is a long non-coding RNA of Hibiscus syriacus, 174 nucleotides long. RefSeq lists it as uncharacterized. The transcript has 3 exons. The record is from RefSeq and is a predicted model, not a curated record. NCBI's taxonomy places the organism in Eukaryota, Viridiplantae, Streptophyta, Magnoliopsida, Malvales, Malvaceae.